Molecule: ribosomal RNA, 396 nt
Filed under: uncultured bacterium
Lineage: Bacteria
Description: partial 16S ribosomal RNA
Rfam family: Bacterial small subunit ribosomal RNA
Source: RNAcentral
AAUAUUGCACAAUGGGCGCAAGCCUGAUGCAGCGACGCCGCGUGGAGGAUGAAGGCCUUCGGGUCGUAAACUCCUGUCUGGGGGGAUGAAAACUGACAGUACCCCCGGAGGAAGCCCCGGCUAACUACGUGCCAGCAGCCGCGGUAAUACGUAGGGGGCGAGCGUUGUCCGGAAUUAUUGGGCGUAAAGGGUUCGUAGGCGGUCUUUUAAGUCAGAUGUGAAAGGUCACGGCUCAACCGUGGUAAGCAUUUGAAACUGAAAGACUUGAGUUAAGGAGAGGAAAGUGGAAUUCCUAGUGCAGCGGUGAAAUGCGUAGAUAUUAGGAGGAAUACCAGUGGCGAAGGCGACUUUCUGGACUUAUACUGACGCUGAGGAACGAAAGCGUGGGGAGCAAAC